CUGAUGCAGCGAGCCGCGUGAGCGAUGAAGUAUUUCGGUAUGUAAAGCUCUAUCAGCAGGGAAGAAAAUGACGGUACCUGACUAAGAAGCCCCGGCUAACUACGUGCCAGCAGCCGCGGUAAUACGUAGGGGGCAAGCGUUAUCCGGAUUUACUGGGUGUAAAGGGAGCGUAGACGGCAUGGCAAGCCUGAUGUGAAAGCCCGGGGCUCAACCCCGGGACUGCAUUUGGAACUGUCAGGCUAGAGUGUCGGAGAGGAAAGCGGAAUUCCUAGUGUAGCGGUGAAAUGCGUAGAUAUUAGGAGGAACACCAGUGGCGAAGGCGGCUUUCUGGACGAUGACUGACGUUGAGGCUCGAAAGCGUGGGGAGCAAACAGGAUUAGAUACCCUGGUAGUCCACGCUGUAAACGAUGAAUACUAGGUGUCGGGUGGCAAAGCCAUUCGGUGCCGCAGCAAACGCAAUAAGUAUUCCACCUGGGGAGUACGUUCGCAAGAAUGAAACUCAAAGGAAUUGACGGA
This 516-nucleotide ribosomal RNA is filed under the name uncultured bacterium. RNAcentral describes it as "bacterial SSU rRNA". It matches the Rfam family "Bacterial small subunit ribosomal RNA", at positions 383 to 917 of the family's 1533-position model. The record is from RNAcentral.